Molecule: RNA transcript, 9096 nt
Organism: Orcinus orca (killer whale)
Lineage: Eukaryota; Metazoa; Chordata; Mammalia; Artiodactyla; Delphinidae
Gene: MRPL30
Gene name: mitochondrial ribosomal protein L30
Exons: 19
Source: RefSeq, a predicted model, not a curated record
UCCCUUGGGCUCCCGAAAAGCCACUGGCCGGCUGGAUCCCGUUUCCCAGUUUGUGGAAUCCCGGGACGCGGCAUGUGGAGCCCCGCCUCCUGGAGCUCGAGGACAGAGCCGCCUCGGCUGGGCAGUCUGGCGGGAAAGGGAAUUCAACCCCUAAGGAGAACAGUCACCACACUCAUGGCAGGGAUUUUGCGCUCAAUAGUUCAGAGGCCCCCAGGCAGACUACAAAUGGUGACAAAAGGUGUGGAGCCCCUUGUUCGUACAGAUUGGAUUCGUCACAAAUUUACGAAGUCAAGAAUUCCAGAUAAAGUUUUUCAACCUUCACCUGAAGAUCAUGAAAAAUAUGGUGGGGAUCCCCAGCAGCCUCAUAAACUGCAUAUUGUUACCAGAAUAAAAAGUACAAAAAGACGUCCAUAUUGGGAGAAAGAUAUAAUAAAGAUGCUUGGGUUACAGAAAGCACAUACUCCUCAAGUUCACAAGAAUAUCCCUUCGGUGAAUGCAAAACUGAAAGUGGUUAAACAUUUGAUAAGAAUCAAGCCCCUGAGGCUGCCGCAGGGUCUCCCAAGAGAGGAGGACAUGUCCAGCACGUGCCUCAAGAGCACUGGAGAGCUGGUGGUGGGGUGGCUUCAGAACCCCACGGACCAGGAAGUGAAAAAGUCCUGAUGGCCUCGCGGCUUCAGAGUAAAAAGUGCAAGUCAUUUCUAUUUCAAGAUGAUCCGUGGACACAAAGCUCAAAGGACACCCGAGCAGGGGACUCUUCUCUUUAGAGAGAACUUCAAACAAUCCUCAAAGAUAAUGCAGUGCGGGAAAGAAACAGGAAGUAGUGACAGAAGGCUGGGAAAUGGAGGCAGCGGGAGGGGACGCCAAGCCCAUGGCAGAGCCUCAGCAAUGGAGAGGUUGGUGGAGACCCAAGAAUUCAGAAGGGGCAGACGACCUGGGGAGCAGGUGGGGGAGCAGAGAUCCUGCGGAAGGAAGGACCAGGGUGUGAGAGACGGAGUGAAGGACAUGGUUGGAGAGAAAUUUAGGCAGGAUAGAAGAGGAUGUGGUUAGGAACGGAGCCAGGUAGAGCCACGAAGAGAAGCCAAACCCGUAGCUUUUCAUGGCGUCGACUUGGUGUGAUCAAACAGGUGAGACGACAUGCUCACAGUCGUGGCUCCUAGAACCCUCCAUAUAGUUUGGCCGGUUUCAAAUUACAGCGAACAGCCUACAGCGACUUACUUCAUUCUUUAAAAAUGAGAAAAGCUAUUUUUCCUACAUUCAAGAUGGAUUUGGCAAAGCCAAGCCCUGGAGUGGGGUUGCUACUCUUUGCUGCUCUUAAAUUAGAGCUUGUCAGUCAAGUAGGCAUUCACCCCCAGACAACCAGCAAAGAAAGACAAGCAGGUGGAACAGAAAUGAGCAGCAAACCGUCCAUACCCAGACUCCGCUCGCUCCCUGUGUGCAGCUCAUCUCAGGACGCCAGAGCCUGGGGGUCAGGCAGGUGCUUCAAGCUCAAAGCCACAAUCAGAAACCACGCCUCUCCCAUCCCUUUCUGCCCUUCACAUUUUCAAAGCUUCAUCCAAGUUUUAACUUUUCAUCUUACUAAAAGUAAACAGCAUAGCUUUUUUGAGGAACCUACUGAGUGAACCCAAGCAGCAGGAAUGUCCACGUGGCAUGAUAAUUCCUCUGAGACUUUAAUUUGUGUUUUGUUUUUUGUGUUUUCUCUCCCUCAUUGGCCAGGCCUUCCUUUGUGUUCCUUUGACUGAGGUCAGCCUCUGUUCCAGGUAUUUGUUUUUAAAAGCGUGAAGUUAUUAAGGGGUAUUAGGCUAGAGGGAGGGAAGAGAAAUGUUUUGAAGAGUGGAGAAAAGAGAUGCUCUGCACCCCACACCCAAGCAGGGGCCUUCCUACAUCCCUAGACAUUUCAGGAUGCUCAGCUGAUUUCCAUCUGCCAGGAUCUGCAUCUCGGUGUCAACGGUCUCAUUCCCUUGGAAGUUCUGAAAAGUGUGCCACCUAUUUGCAUGGAAGACCAGAGGAGCAAAGAAUUAAGCUGCUCUCCUCCCAACAGGCAGAUACCCCAGUCAAUGGCUCUUAGAAGUUGAUGUAUAAAUACCCCAGCUUCUUGGCCCUUGUGUAUAAUAAUUCUGCAGUGUGUUUUGCACAAUCCCUCAGUGUUUGCUUGGAGGAUUGAGCUCCAGUGCCCACUGUGGUAGCCGGCUUGACGACACACAUUUUAUUGGCUUUCUUCCCUUCCCUGUAUCCCCCAGCCACUUCAUAUCAGCAUUCCCUGAACCUCUCAAAUAAACCACCUGCACCUGAAGUUGUUUCAGGGUCUGCUUCUAUGGGAACCAAACUAAGACACCUUAAAUAUUGACUCUCCUCUAGAACAUCUGGUAUCUCAGUCAUAAAAAGAAUACUGGGGGAAUAGAUUCAGAGUAUGAGUCAUCAUACUAUUUCUUGUUUUUCAAAUUAUUUGGAAAUUAUCUCACCUGGGUGUACUUUUUUGCUUUAGUAGUGACAUUGAAGGAGUUGGCAAUUAGAUGGAGUACAUGCUGUGAUUUCUCCCACAGAAGAAAUCAUUCUUGAGCAAAGUGAACAUCUAAAGAAUGUCCUGGAUUGCCCACAUGCAGAGAUAAUAAUCAAAGUAUUUAACUGGUACAGCAUGGUUCUCAACCAGUCAUAAAAGAUGCUGGUCUACAUGCUGCAGGGCUGCCUAACCAUCUGACCAUAGGCUCUGCCCAGUGAAACACAGGGGUCCCAGUUCUGCCUGGGUGAAAUCUGCAGGUAGGCUUGAGAGGUCAUUGAGCAGGGAAGGGUUUACUUGGCUUUCUCCAAGGGGGCUCAGAGGUAGGUGGGUAUGAUUUUGAUUCCUCCUCAGAAAAAGAAGUGAUGUGUAGAAACAUUUAUUGAACAUCUCUGAAGGGAGCUAAAGGCCCAGCAGGGGCCAUAUCGGCAGGGACUUUGAGAGCUUUACAUUCCAACAUAUUAUUUGUGUUUUCUCCUGAGUAUGGAAGUAAAGCCACAAACUGCAUCAGGUUUCCUUCUGGAAGAAUGUCUCUUCUCCAUUGUGGGUGGUCUGGGCAAGACCAAAAAGCAGAGCAGCCAGCCUGUAGGUGUGUAUAUGAUCCCAGGUAAGUCCAUCAGUCUCUCCCGGAACUAUAGAAGUGAAGCAGAAUGAUGAAAGGAUGGGAGAAAAGGUCGUUGGAGUUCAUUUACGCAGUGAGAGUGCUAAUUCAUUCGUGCAGUAGGGAUGCUAUAAAGUAUGGUCAACUGCUUCCUGCUACCCAGACCCCAGAGCUGCCUGGUUACUCUUCUUGUCCUUGAGCCUUUCAUUGGCUCUGGGAGCUUUUUGAUAGCCUUUCGGUAAUUUCCUUUUACUGCUUAAAAUUUCCAGAACUGGUUAAUUUUACUUACACCUAAAGAACAAUAACAAAAUUGGCUCCUAUAUGCUUAUCUUCAGCCAUGUUUGGUGGAGAAUGGACCUCUUGAAAGACUGUGUGGCAGCAACUACUGAAAAGGGAAGAAAAGAAGCCAGUCCCUGGAUCUUCAGCAAACAAGAGGAAGAAGACAAAAGAGCCUUAUGAAUCACAAAAGAUAUGGAAGGGCUACUGAAAGCAGUAGAAAUAGAGAAGAUACAUGAAGAUAUGAAGAAGGUAAAAGAAGGUCCGGAGAGGACAAGUUGAUGAUUUUUAAAAGAGGCAAAAAGCAUACAUCUCUAAGAAACCCCCUUGGAGGCUUUGACUCAGGCCCUCCCUUCGCCCUUGUCUUCGGCCUCCCGACCAAAACCUGGCGUUUCUGGCGUGGCCCUGAGCUGCGGGGCCUGCCUCUUGUUUCUAGGGGAACGGUAAGUACCAUUCAGUUUUUCUUACGAUGGCACUCUGUCAUCACUCAGUCACCUUUAGAAAUUAAGACCCGGGGCUUCCCUGGCGGCGCAGUGGUUGAGGGUCCGCCUGCCGAUGCGGGGGACGUGGGUUCGUGCCCCGGUCCGGGAGGAUCCUGCAUGCCGUGGAGCGGCUGGGCCCGUGAACCGUGGCCGCUGGGCCUGUGCGUCCGGAGCCUAUGUUCCGCAACGGGAGAGGCCACAGCAGUGAGAGGCCCACGUACUGCAAAAAAAUAAAUAAAUAAAAAUAAAAUAAAAAAAGAAAUUAAGACCUGGACACAAUAAAUAACAGGUCUGACAUUUUUCUUGCUUUGUAAGAUAUCCCCCUUUUAAACGUCUGUCUCAUUCUACCUCUGUUUACAUGUUAACAAAAAUUUACAUUGAGAUCCCUGUCAAAUAAAAAGCACCUGGUCACCGCCAGUGAGGCUAUACAUAGAGAUGCUGAGAAAGCACCGUUCACAGCGUGGGCAGCGCAAGCCGGAAGGAGGAUGCAGUGUCGGGGACACGCGUGCACUGGGUGGGGAGCAGGGACAUGGGAGGAUCCCAGUCCUCUUGGCAGCUCCCCAGCGUGUCCGGCCUGAUCUGUGCCUCAGCAGCCGGCCAGCUGUGACCAGUGACUCUGCUCCGGUGAACUGGUUCUUGGCUCCCCUGGGACCACGAGGAGAGAAUAAAACGCUACCUGCUUUCAAGAUCGCAGAAAGUCACAACCCAGUCCCACCUAGAUUUUGUUUGUUGGGCCGCGCUGCACGGCUUGCGGGAUCUCAGUUUCCCGACCAGGAAUUGAACCCAGGCCGUGGCCGUGAAAGCGCAGAAUCCUAACCACUGGACCACCAGGGAAGUCCCCCAUCUAGCUUUAUUCUCUAAAGUUUCAUUUGUGUUUGCAACAUAAAGUAAUUCCUUUAUGUGCCUGUACAUAUGUCCUGGUUUUUUUCUUUUUUCCCCAGAAAUAAGAACAAAUCCUUCUUUUGAGUUAUUCAGAGCUUCUAGGCUGUAGGGAGAAACAACACAAAAGAGUGCAUGAUUAUGCUGUCAGAUGCCUGAGGUGAAGCCAUUAACCAAGUUCCUUUUAUCAAUUCCAGCAGCCUCCACUGUUUUCUGGGAGGGUGGGAACUCAUGGAGGAACAGCCUGGCUCUUUGCAGCACCCACGUGAUGAGAUGUUUUGUUAGUGCCCCGUGUGUUCAGGCCGGGUUCAUUCUACUCCACGUGACCUGAUAACAUGGGGAUACUGGGAGUUUUGCUCGUUUACUAUCUCACACUCUGGAGCAAAAAAUUUGAGGGCUCUGGUUCAUAUUGUCUUCUCAAAGAGCUUUUACUCAGGGUCUUAAGUAUUCCCCUUUUUCAUUUCCCCAUCACAAGAAAUAUAAAUAAGUUAUUGGACGUAUAAAAUGUCUAUUUGGUCUGUGCUAGAAAAACAGAUUCAGGUCACAUAGGGAAGUCAAACAUAAGAGAAGUGGAGUUGCUUUGAUUGGGCACUGCUUCAAUAUCUGAAAAAGAAAAAAGUCCCCAUGAGGUUGCUCUAAGGCAGCAUGGGAAAGCAGGUAGAGAAGGCUGCAGGGGGGGCUGACAGAGGGGGAAGCGGGAUAGAUUCACCCUGGCUGGAUAGGCCGACUCAGCAAGUCAAAGGGGACUCAGCUCCAUCUGCCCAGCUAAGCCAGAAGUGGUGCACACCUCAAUGAGGAAUCUGGGUUUUGUGUUUUUUUGUUUUUGUUUUGACUGCACCAUGCGCGGCAUGCGGGAUGGAACCUGUGCCGCUUGCAUUGGGAGCACAGGGUCUUAACCCCUGGACCACCAGGGAAGUCCCAGGAAUCUGGGUUUAAAUAGCCCUGAAAAGCGAGAGGAGACUUUAAGAGUCUUCAGAUGGCUACACAAAACCACCUAUCAGCAUCCUAUUUCGUUCAGGUAAUUCUGGAGAAUCUGUGAGGCAAUAAUUCUCAGCCUUGGCUACACAUUAGAAUCACCUGGGAAUGGGACUGAGUUCUUGUUGUUGUUGUUCGUUUGUUUGUUUUUUCUUCCAGUUUUAUUGAGAUCUAGUGGACAUACAGCACUGUAUAAGUUUAAGGUGUACAGAAUAAUGAUUUGUUUACAUACGUCAUGAAGUGAUUCUCACGGAAGCUGCUGGAGGAUGUGCUCCAUAUAAACAAAGGAGUAAGCUAAAAAUGUGAAAAAUGGGGAGAUGCAACAUGGGAGAGCUGCAAAGGACUGAUGGUGAAGCUGAAACUGCACAACUCAGAUGGGACUCAAACCCACCAAAACUCAGAUUGGGACUUGAACCCACAGGCUGGGACUCGAAUCCAGAAUCCACUGUCGUUUAAUUGAGACCACACACCUGGUCUCAGGAUCUAGUGAAGCUCAGGUUCUUUAUGUCUCAUCCCAGAAGGAAUUCAGCAAGAGCCCAAGUGAUAGAAGCUGCGUGAGGCUGCCCUGGUGAUUGCAGGACUUUACCCAACUGGUUCACACGUGGACUCGUAACCAGUGCCUCCCAGUCCAUUGCCAUUGUGCCAGGGAAAUGGAAAUCUCCAAAGGUGUAUUCCUGAGGUCUUCUCAGUCAUAUUGUCCUUAGUGAGGAUCCCUUCACUGCAUUCAGCCUUGAAAGUGGGUCUUGGAAGACAGACGGUGGGGAGACAAGAAGGAAGCAGCCCAGGAGUUCAAGGUCAUGAUGGUCAUGAGCAGGUUCCACAAGCCCCUAACACAGAAGCCCACAGGGACUCAACAUACUGUCGAGUUACCAAAUACAGGUUCUUUCAAGAAACCAAGAUACUUUGAUUCUCAACACUGAGAAAUAUGGUGAUCUGACUGCAGAUCUUGAAAAGCCAGUUUCUGAUGCAUGUGCCUUAUCCCAACAGCCUCUUCAUUAUCAAAAGGUUAGUAUUGUGGGUGGUUCCUUCCAAACACCCAGGAAGAGAAUAUGUCAAGAUGAAGAAGAGGUAUUAAGGAAGUCAUUUGAAUUAACAAAAAGCCAUGCUUUUUGUUUUUCUUCCCUACAACAUUGAGAUAGUCUAUCUGAUUUCCCUUAGUUGAGUAGAAAAUGCCGUGCCCAGUCCAGAACACCAGAAAGAUACAGGAACUUUGCAUUUUAGCUGUGUUUACAGGAACUCUCAGAUUCAAUCACCUAACAGGAAUCACCCACUGAGCCCCUAGCACUGAAUGAGAGAGGACACUCCGUCCCAGGAAAAAGAGCAGAGAAAGAGCCAUGUAGGUACAGGAAAAGCUCAUAGUUUCAUGAAAGUGUAUAUUUACAGAGGCUUCUCACUGGCUUUAUGGAAAGGACCCAUCCGAAAAAAGGACUGCUUGCAACCAGAUGCAAAGCCCGGAGCAUUUUACUCUUUGUACUGCUUUUCCAGGGGAAAAAAAUUCUUCUUGGAAACACAAGUGGAAAAACUUAGCUUUUAUUGCAACAUGAAAGCUCGUUUCAUUUUCCAGGCAUGGAGCUAAAUGUCUGUAUUGCGUAAGCACUUGAAUGAAAAGAGUCUGUGUAAAUACAUGUGCCAAUGACUUAGGAACACAGAGUUACUUUGUUUGUUUUUUUUCAAUUACAUCAGGAAAGAGCAAGAAGGGACAAUAAGACAUCAACGUAGCGUAUCGAAGGAACCCAAACUCUGUGACCCAACUUUCCAGGUGCCAAAAAGGAGACUAUGUUCAGAAGGGAGUGUUGAGGCGUCACUGGAGUCUGUGUGGGGAGAGUCCAUCGGUCACCCAGGACCGAUCCGGUCAAAGCCCUGUGGCUUCAGACACUUGGAACCAUUAUCAAAACGUCAGCCCCUGCCUUCUCCCGGGUCCUCUGCCCUGCCACACCUGGAAUGUGUGAGAGCAGUGAACUUGGCGGCUUCAUUCAUGACUGAGUCCUCAGAGACCAGAUCAGAGCCUAGCACGUUGUGUGUGUGCGGUAAAUAUUUGUUGAAUCCGUCAAUGCAUGAAGAAUCUUCAGUCUCACCCAGCGAGGUUCAGAUCGGUCCUCCAGCCCCGCGUCCCAGUCUAUGAUGCCAUCCUCAGAAACAGAAGUCUACAUGUAGUCAAGCAUUCUCAUUGCAAAAGACCAUAUCUUCUAGUUUUCAUUAAGUGGGAGGCAGACGGGUCAGUGUCAGAGACUCUAUCAGGCCUUGACGCUCAUGAAGACAGAGAGAAAAGGGCCCCGAGCCAAGGAAUGAGGCAGCAUCAAGAGGCUGGGAAAGACAAGAAAAUGGAUUCCCUGUAGAGCGUCCAGAAAGACCACAGCCUUGCUGACACUUCAAUCUGAGCGCAGUGAGAGCCCCGGACUUCUGACCUCCGGAACUGAUACGGGAUCUUGGUUCCCCAACCAGGGAUCGAACCAGUGCCCCCUGCAGUGGAAGCAUGAAUUGUUAACCACUGGACUGCCAGGGAAGUCCCAGAAUUUUCUUUAUAAGAGAUCUCUAUAGACAUCAACAAAACUCAUGGAAUUCAUUAUCAUUAACCCAGAAUUAGUAUGGAACUCUUUUCAUGACGCCUGAAAAAUAUUUCGAAAAUAUCUGGAAAUAUUCCUAGCAGCUAGAUCUUGGUUCUGAAAUAUCAUUUGCCACUGAAAGGAACCAUGGUGUCUCGGAGAAAAAGCCAGUUCCUAUGGAGAGUAUAACACGAGGCCCCCUAAAAGACCUUACGUGCACCAGAAAGAAAGUGCUCAAAGAAUUAUGGGGAUGUGUCAAAAGGACACAGAAGCCAGUAUGAAAGGCUCUCACUGGCCAAAUUUGAGGCAAUCUGAGCUUCAAAGUAAAUAAUAACAGCAACAGACUAUAACCCACUGAAUAAAAGAAUCCACAGCCCAUUCUAAUACAGAUAAAUGAAGAAGUAAGUUAAUGUGGGGCCUGGAGAAGUUCUUCCUUAAAUCACCCGUUGGCUUGGUGGACAACUGGUUAACCAGUGCACAGUCAUCACCACCAGCAAUGAGACAAACCAUCAUAUAUCUCCUGAUAUGGUACACUGAGAAGAAAGAAUACAACAUCACUUCCAUAAUACACCUGUGGAAAACACGCAGAAUCUGAAUCUAACUUUGAAACAAACUGGGAAAUGCUCUAUAAAAUAACUAGCUUGUACUCUUCCAAAAUGUUAAAGUAUUGAAAAACAAAGGAGGGGAACAAGUUGCUACAGGUUAAUGGAAACUAAAAAUACAUAGUAAGUACACAGAACCCAUUUUUCCAGUAUGGAGGACAUUAUUGGGACAAUGGUGGAAUUUGAAUAAGGUCUGUAAACUGUAUUUUGUGUUUUAAUAAAUUGUACUGUGGUUAUAUAAGAA